This 707-nucleotide long non-coding RNA is filed under the name Sorghum bicolor (sorghum). RNAcentral's name for it is "long non-coding RNA (SBIC_LNC003610)". Lineage: Eukaryota; Viridiplantae; Streptophyta; Magnoliopsida; Poales; Poaceae. The record is from RNAcentral.
UUAUAGUCCACUCAAAUAAAACAAAUUAUGUAAACCUAACAUAGGAACCUUUGUUCAACAAUAUAUUCAGCCGAUUGAGGCUAAUUAUCAGUUUUCAUUUAGACAUACUCACAUACAAAGAGAAACUCCAUACAAAUACUAUUAACUUCCAGAAAUACUGAUGCCUCCAUCUCCUUGGAUGGCAAUGGAACAAAACACACAUCGCUAUUGGAGAUCUGUUCUCUAGCUUGCAUGACAUUGUUUCUAACACUCCAAAUUGUAUGCACCCACUGAGUGAUGAGGAAAUUUGCAAAGGACCUCAACUGGAUACAAAUGGACGAUCAAUAGCUAUUUUGGCAGCGAGUAACUUAUGUUCUUGUUAUCAGAUAGAGCCAAAUAUUGUCACAUUGCUUGCCAUAGAACAAAAACAUGAGGACACUAAUGGAAACAAUCUUUUCUUUUUGCUGGCCACAAGUGCAAUGCUGCUAAAGAUGACGAUAUCACUUGUUAGCUCUUGUCAUCAGAUAAUUAUUUAUAACUAUGUUUCCUGAUCAUGCAUAAAUAAGAGAGCUUUACAGAAAAGUUUACCUGUUUCAAGUGAUAAAUCCAAAUGCCUCAAAUAAGGCAACAAAUAAGCGAAGGUCACAGAUAAAAAAUUGAUCAAGCUACAUAUAUGGAUCAACUCUUCAAACUUGAAGAUGCGAUGCUGAAUCUUAACUGAGCAAAAG